AAAGUACUCCCUCAGUCCCAAAAUUCUUGUCUUAAAUUUGUCUAGAUACGGAUGUAUUUAAUAGUAAAACAUGACUUGAUACAUCCAUAUUUAGACAAAUCUAGGACAAGAAUUUUGGGAUGGAGGGAGUAUUAC
This is a non-coding RNA of Triticum aestivum (bread wheat), 135 nucleotides long. The record is from Rfam. Lineage: Eukaryota; Viridiplantae; Streptophyta; Magnoliopsida; Poales; Poaceae.